Molecule: ribosomal RNA, 301 nt
Filed under: uncultured bacterium
Lineage: Bacteria
Description: partial 16S ribosomal RNA
Rfam family: Bacterial small subunit ribosomal RNA
Source: RNAcentral
CAGUAGCCGCGGGAAUACGUAGGUGGCAAGCGUUGUCCGGAAUUACUGGGCGUAAAGGGCGCGUAGGCGGGCUGAUAAGUCGGGGGUGAAAUCCCAAGGCUCAACCUUGGAACUGCCUUUGAUACUGUUGGUCUUGAGUCCGGGAGAGGUGAGUGGAACUGCGAGUGUAGAGGUGAAAUUCGUAGAUAUUCGCAAGGACACCAGUGGCGAAGGCGGCUCACUGGCCCGGAACUGACGCUGAGGCGCGAAAGCGUGGGGAGCAAACAGGAUUAGAUACCCCAGUAGUCCCUGUCUCUUAUAA